AGAGUUUGAUCCUGGCUCAGAAUUAACGCUGGCGGCGUGCCUAAGACAUGCAAGUCGAACGUGAAAGUAGCAAUAUGAGUAAAGUGGCGCACGGGUGAGUAACAUUUGGGUAACGUACCUUAUCGCUGGGGAUAACCAGACGAAAGUUUGGCUAAUACCGAAUAAUCCGGCAGAAACUGCGGUUUCAGUCGGUAAAGCCGAAAGGCGCGAUUUGAGCGGCCCAAAUCCCAUUAACUAGUUGGCGGGGUAAAAGCCCACCAAGGUUACGAUGGGUAGCUGGUCUGAGAGGACGAUCAGCCACACUGGUACUGAAACACGGACCAGACUCCUACGGGAGGCAGCAGUUAGGAAUUUUGCGCAAUGGACGAAAGUCUGACGCAGCAACGCCGCGUGAGUGAUGAAGGCCUUCGGGUUGUAAAGCUCUUUUAGUUGGGGCGAAAAAAAUGACGGUACCAACAGAAAAAGCACCGGCUAACUCUGUGCCAGCAGCCGCGGUAAUACAGAGGGUGCAAGCGUUAUUCGGAGUUAUUGGGCGUAAAGAGCGCGUAGGUGGCUCGAUAAGUUUGAUGUGAAAUCCCUGGACUCAAUCCAGGAAGUGCAUUGAAUACUGUCGGGCUCGAGUACAGGAGAGGUAGGCGGAAUUCCAGGUGUAGAGGUGAGAUUCGUAGAUAUCUGGAGGAACAACAGUGGCGAAGGCGGCCUGCUGGACUGUAACUGACACUGAGGCGCGAAAGCGUGGGGAGCAAACAGGAUUAGAUACCCUGGUAGUCCACGCCGUAAACGAUGGGUACUAGAUGUUAGUGGGUCUUGCCCCGCUGGCGUCGUAGCAAACGCGUUAAGUACCCCGCCUGGGGAGUACGGCCGCAAGGUUAAAACUCAAAGGAAUUGACGGGGACCCGCACAAGCGGUGGAUUAUUGUGGAUUAAUUCGAAUGCAACGCGAAAAACCUUACCUACCCUUGACAUGCCAGGAACCCUUCAGAGAUGGAGGGGUGCCCGAAAGGGAACCUGGACACAGGUGCUGCAUGGCUGUCGUCAGCUCGUGUCGUGAGAUGUUGGGUUAAGUCCCGCAACGAGCGCAACCCUUGCCAUUAGUUGCUACAUUCAGUUGAGCACUCUAAUGGGACUGCCGGUGACAAACCGGAGGAAGGUGGGGAUGACGUCAAGUCCUCAUGGCCCUUAUGGGUAGGGCUUCACACGUAAUACAAUGGCCGGUACAGAGGGCAGCCAACUCGCGAGAGGGAGCUAAUCCCAGAAAGCCGGUCGUAGUCCGGAUUGCAGUCUGCAACUCGACUGCAUGAAGCCGGAAUCGCUAGUAAUCGCGGAUCAGCAUGUCGCGGUGAAUACGUUCCCGGGUCUUGUACACACCGCCCGUCACACCAUGGGAGUGGGUUUCACCAGAAGUAGUUAGCCUAACCGCAAGGAGGGCGACUACCACGGUGAGAUUCAUGACUGGGGUGAAGUCGUAACAAGGUAACCGU
This 1480-nucleotide ribosomal RNA is filed under the name uncultured bacterium. Its description in RNAcentral is "partial 16S ribosomal RNA". It matches the Rfam family "Bacterial small subunit ribosomal RNA". The record is from RNAcentral.